Molecule: long non-coding RNA, 147 nt
Organism: Phyllostomus discolor (pale spear-nosed bat)
Lineage: Eukaryota; Metazoa; Chordata; Mammalia; Chiroptera; Phyllostomidae
Exons: 3
Source: RefSeq, a predicted model, not a curated record
AGGUGGGUGAUGAUGGCUUUAUAGCCUGCCACUAGAUGCAACUUAAUUGUUCCUUGCCACUCACUGAUAGGGUGUUGAUAUGAGUCUGCAGGCAAUUGGUUGAUUAUGGUCUCUGUGCAGUCAAACCUCUCUGCUCACGGUCAUCUG